This is a long non-coding RNA of Cyprinodon tularosa, 329 nucleotides long. RefSeq lists it as uncharacterized. The record is from RefSeq and is a predicted model, not a curated record. Lineage: Eukaryota; Metazoa; Chordata; Actinopteri; Cyprinodontiformes; Cyprinodontidae. The transcript has 2 exons.
UGAAGGAAAGAGGGGAGGGCAAGGCUGUGAAUGCAGCAGGAGAAUGUAGCUGAUAAGUGUGAAAGGGUCCUGCGGGAGGGCUGGUCAUCCCUGUAGCCUCAGGGCUGUCAGGCCAGGAUUUGGCGCAAGCCUCUGGACUGGGUAACGUCCACGGUGGUGCCUGAAAAGUGUGCUAGUCUACCUGAGAUGGGACGGCAGCUGGUUGGAGAUGACACUACAGGGAGAGGAGACAAAUGGGAAACAAACACAGACCACAUAAAUAGAGUGUUGCAAACAAACUGGAGCACACAGAGCACGUACUCACCAAUAAAGAGCUGUGUAGCAAAAAA